UACGUAGGGUGCGAGCGUUGUCCGGAAUUAUUGGGCGUAAAGAGCUUGUAGGCGGUCUGUCGCGUCUGCUGUGAAAAUCCGGGGCUCAACCCCGGACUUGCAGUGGGUACGGGCAGACUAGAGUGUGGUAGGGGAGACUGGAAUUCCUGGUGUAGCGGUGAAAUGCGCAGAUAUCAGGAGGAACACCCGGGGCGAAAGCGGCUCUCUGGGACGGUACUGACGCUGAGACGCGAAAGCGUGGGGAGCAAACAGG
RNAcentral lists this ribosomal RNA (253 nucleotides) under uncultured bacterium. Its description in RNAcentral is "partial 16S ribosomal RNA". It matches the Rfam family "Bacterial small subunit ribosomal RNA", at positions 524 to 776 of the family's 1533-position model. The record is from RNAcentral.